Molecule: ribosomal RNA, 744 nt
Filed under: uncultured bacterium
Lineage: Bacteria
Description: bacterial SSU rRNA
Rfam family: Bacterial small subunit ribosomal RNA
Source: RNAcentral
AGAGUUUGAUCCUGGCUCAGAACGAACGCUGGCGGCAUGCCUCAUACAUGCAAGUCGAACGAAGGCUUCGGCCUUAGUGGCGCACGGGUGAGUAGCGCGUGGGAACCUACCCUUCUGUAGGGAAUAACCAAGGGAAACUUUGGCUAAUACCCUAUAAGCCGGGAAACCGGGAAAGAUUUAUCGCAGCAGGAGGGGCCCGCGUCGGAUUAGCUAGUUGGUGGGGUAACGGCCCACCAAGGCGAUGAUCCGUAGCUGGUCUGAGAGGAUGAUCAGCCACACUGGGACUGAGACACGGCCCAGACUCCUACGGGAGGCAGCAGUAGGGAAUAUUGGACAAUGGGCGCAAGCCUGAUCCAGCAAUGCCGCGUGAGUGAUGAAGGCCUUCGGGUUGUAAAGCUCUUUCGCCCGCGACGAUGAUGACGGUAGCGGGAGAAGAAGCCCCGGCUAACUUCGUGCCAGCAGCCGCGGUAAUACGAAGGGGGCGAGCGUUGUUCGGAUUUACUGGGCGUAAAGGGCGCGUAGGCGGCCGAUCAAGUCAGGCGUGAAAGCCCCGGGCUCAACCUGGGAAUGGCGCUUGGGACUGGUUGGCUUGAGUUCGGGAGAGGAGAGUGGAAUUCCCAGUGUAGAGGUGAAAUUCGUAGAUAUUGGGAAGAACACCGGUGGCGAAGGCGGCUCUCUGGACCGAGACUGACGCUGAGGCGCGAAAGCGUGGGGAGCAAACAGGAUUAGAUACCCUAGUAGUCC